GGGGGGGGGGGGGCGACUCAACGCCGCCGGCGAGUCCCCACGAUGCGAGUGUGCAAACACGUUCAUGCCCUCACAAGACGGAGACAUGUAUGUAAAUACGUCCACUCCGUGUAAACGGCGCGUUAAAUAGGCGGUUAGUGGGCGAGACCACCAGACGGAGGAUCACCAGAAGCUCCUUCAGUACAUCCUCCAGCAGAGACCAGUCCACUGAGGACAGACCCACAUCCUCCAGCAGAGACCAGUCCACUGAGGACAGACCCACAUCCUCCAGCAGAGACCAGUCCACCGAGGACAGACCCGAAUCCUCCAGCAGAGACCAGUCCACCGAGGACAAGACCCACAUCCUCCAGCAGAGACCAGUCCACCGAGGACAGACCCGAAUCCUCCAGCAGAGACCAGUCCACCGAGGACAAGACCCACAUCCUCCAGCAGAGACCAGUCCACCGAGGACAGACCCACAUCCUCCAGCAGAGACCAGUCCACCGAGGACAGGCCCGAAUCCUGCAGCAGAGACCAGUCCACCGAGGACAAGACCCACAUCCUCCAGCAGAGACCAGUCCACCGAGGACAGACCCACAUCCUCCAGCAGAGACCAGUCCACCGAGGACAGACCCGAAUCCUCCAGCAGAGACCAGUCCACCGAGGACAGACCCGAAUCCUCCAGCAGAGACCAGUCCACCGAGGACAGACCCACAUCCUCCAGCAGAGACCAGUCCACCGAGGACAGACCCGAAUCCUCCAGCAGAGACCAGUCCACCGAGGACAGACCCGAAUCCUGCAGCAGAGACCAGUCCACCGAGGACAAGACCCACAUCCUCCAGCAGAGACCAGUCCACCGAGGGACAGACCCACAUCCGGGCUCCACCGCAGUUCUCGGACCUGCAGUCGGCGCACCCGGACUCUGCUCCCGGUAGCGUCUCCUCCUCCUCCAGGA
This is a long non-coding RNA of Gasterosteus aculeatus aculeatus (three-spined stickleback), 934 nucleotides long. NCBI's taxonomy places the organism in Eukaryota, Metazoa, Chordata, Actinopteri, Perciformes, Gasterosteidae. The record is from Ensembl.